This 408-nucleotide ribosomal RNA is filed under the name uncultured microorganism. Its description in RNAcentral is "bacterial SSU rRNA". It matches the Rfam family "Bacterial small subunit ribosomal RNA", at positions 509 to 917 of the family's 1533-position model. The record is from RNAcentral.
CAGCCGCCGCGGUAAUACGUAGGGUGCAAGCGUUAAUCGGAAUUACUGGGCGUAAAGCGUGCGCAGGCGGUUCGGAAAGAAAGAUGUGAAAUCCCAGAGCUUAACUUUGGAACUGCAUUUUUAACUACCGGGCUAGAGUGUGUCAGAGGGAGGUGGAAUUCCGCGUGUAGCAGUGAAAUGCGUAGAUAUGCGGAGGAACACCGAUGGCGAAGGCAGCCUCCUGGGAUAACACUGACGCUCAUGCACGAAAGCGUGGGGAGCAAACAGGAUUAGAUACCCUGGUAGUCCACGCCCUAAACGAUGUCAACUAGCGGUUGGGGCCUUCGGGCCUUGGUAGCGCAGCUAACGCGUGAAGUUGACCGCCUGGGGAGUACGGUCGCAAGAUUAAAACUUAAAGGAAUUGGCGGG